UACAGAGGGCUCAAGCGUUGUUCGGAUUCAUUGGGCGUAAAGGGUGCGUAGGUGGCGCUGUAAGUCGGGUGUGAAAUUUCGGAGCUUAACUCCGAAACUGCAUUCGAUACUGCGGUGCUUGAGGACUGGAGAGGAGACUGGAAUUCAUGGUGUAGCAGUGAAAUGCGUAGAGAUCAUGAGGAAGACCAGUGGCGAAGGCGAGUCUCUGGACAGUUCCUGACACUGAGGCACGAAGGCCAGGGGAGCAAACGGG
RNAcentral lists this ribosomal RNA (253 nucleotides) under uncultured bacterium. Its description in RNAcentral is "partial 16S ribosomal RNA". It matches the Rfam family "Bacterial small subunit ribosomal RNA", at positions 524 to 776 of the family's 1533-position model. The record is from RNAcentral.